UACGUAGGGUCCAAGCGUUAUCCGGAAUCACUGGGCGUAAAGCGUGCGUAGGUGGCGCGUUAAGUGAGAUGUUAAAUCGUGUGGCUCAACCAUAUCGAUGCAUCUCAUACUGGCGUGCUAGAGGACAGCAGAGGCAAGUGGAAUUGGUAGUGUAGCAGUGAAAUGCGCAGAUAUCAGGAGGAACACCGGUGGCGAAGGCGGUGGUCUGGGCCGGCACUGACGCUGAGGAGCGAAAGCGUGGGGAGCAAACAGG
Molecule: ribosomal RNA, 253 nt
Filed under: uncultured bacterium
Lineage: Bacteria
Description: partial 16S ribosomal RNA
Rfam family: Bacterial small subunit ribosomal RNA
Source: RNAcentral